CGGCUUCGAGUUGUAAACCUCUUUGGCAGGGAAGAAGCUCCUGGAGUGACGGUACUGCAGAAAAAGCACCGGCUAACUACGUGCCAGCAGCGCGGUAAUACGUAGGGUGCAAGCGUUAUCCGGAAUUAUUGGGCGUAAAGAGCUCGUAGGCGGUUUGUCGCGUCUGCUGUGAAAUCCCGAGGCUCAACCUCGGGCUGCAGUGGGUACGGGCAGACUAGAGUGCGGUAGGGGAGAUUGGAAUUCCUGGUGUAGCGGUGGAAUGCGCAGAUAUCAGGAGGAACACCGAUGGCGAAGGCAGAUCUCUGGGCCGUAACUGACGCUGAGGAGCGAAAGGGUGGGGAGCAAACAGGCUUAGAUACCCUGGUAGUCCACCCCGUAAACGCUGGGAACUAGUUGUGGGGUCCUUUCCACGGAUUCCGUGACGCAGCUAACGCAUUAAGUUCCCCGCCUGGGGAGUACGGCCGCAAGGCUAAAACUCAAAGGAAUUGACGGGGACCCGCACAAGCGGCGGAGCAUGCGGAUUAAUUCGAUGCAACGCGAAGAACCUUACCAAGGCUUGACAUACACCGGAAACGGCCAGAGAUGGUCGCCCCGCAAGGUCGGUGUACAGGUGGUGCAUGGUUGUCGUCAGCUCGUGUCGUGAGAUGUUGGGUUAAGUCCCGCAACGAGCGCAACCCUCGUUCUAUGUUGCCAGCACGUGAUGGUGGGAACUCAUGGGAUACUGCCGGGGUCAACUCGGAGGAAGGUGGGGAUGACGUCAAAUCAUCAUGCCCCUUAUGUCUUGGGCUUCACGCAUGCUACAAUGGCCGGUACAAAGGGCUGCAAUACCGUGAGGUGGAGCGAAUCCCAAAAAGCCGGUCCCAGUUCGGAUUGAGGUCUGCAACUCGACCUCAUGAAGUCGGAGUCGCUAGUAAUCGCA
This 919-nucleotide ribosomal RNA is filed under the name uncultured Microbacterium sp. Its description in RNAcentral is "bacterial SSU rRNA". It matches the Rfam family "Bacterial small subunit ribosomal RNA", at positions 412 to 1346 of the family's 1533-position model. The record is from RNAcentral. Lineage: Bacteria; Bacillati; Actinomycetota; Actinomycetes; Micrococcales; Microbacteriaceae.